Molecule: ribosomal RNA, 468 nt
Filed under: uncultured bacterium
Lineage: Bacteria
Description: partial 16S ribosomal RNA
Rfam family: Bacterial small subunit ribosomal RNA
Source: RNAcentral
GACGAACGCUGGCGGCGUGCUUAACACAUGCAAGUCGAACGGUGAAGCUCCAGCUUGCUGGUGUGGCUCAGUGGCGAACGGGUGAGUAACACGUGAGCAACCUGCCCCUGACUCUGGAAUAAGCGCUGGAAACGGCGUCUAAUACUGGAUACGAGAAGGGUCCGCAUGGGCACCUUCUGGAAAGUUUUUCGGUUGGGGAUGGGCUCGCGGCCUAUCAGCUUGUUGGUGAGGUAAUGGCUCACCAAGGCGACGACGGGUAGCCGGCCUGAGAGGGCGACCGGCCACACUGGGACUGAGACACGGCCCAGACUCCUACGGGAGGCAGCAGUGGGGAAUAUUGCACAAUGGGCGAAAGCCUGAUGCAGCGACGCCGCGUGAGGGAUGACGGCCUUCGGGUUGUAAACCGCUUUCAGCAGGGAAGAAGCGAAAGUGACGGUACCUGCAGAAGAAGCACCGGCUAACUACGUG